GACAGAGGUCCCAAGCGUUGUUCGGAUUUACUGGGCGUAAAGGGCGCGUAGGCGGCCGGGCCCGUCCGGCGUGAAAGCCCGCAGCUUAACUGCGGAAGGGCGCCAGAUACUACCCGGCUCGAGGGUUGGAAGGGGGACUGGAAUUCUCGGUGUAGCGGUGAAAUGCGUAGAUUUCGAGAAGAACGCCAGUGGCGAAGGCGAGUCCCUGGACAACUCCUGACGCUGAGGCGCGAAAGCCAGGGGAG
This 245-nucleotide ribosomal RNA is filed under the name uncultured bacterium. RNAcentral describes it as "partial 16S ribosomal RNA". It matches the Rfam family "Bacterial small subunit ribosomal RNA", at positions 524 to 768 of the family's 1533-position model. The record is from RNAcentral.